GAUGAACGCUGGCGGCGUGCCUAAUACAUGCAAGUCGAGCGAACGGGCGAUAAUCGUGCUGCUCUGGUGUUACCGACGGACGGGUAAGUCGCAGGUGGUUUACCUACCUCUAAGACUUGAGUAACGGCGGCAAACCGGAGCUAUUACCGGAUAAUAGUUUGAACCGCAUGGUUCAAAAGUAAAAGACGGUAUUGCUGUCACUUAUAGAUGGAUCCGCGCUGCAUUAGCUAGUUGGUAAGGUAACGGCUUACCAAGGCAACGAUGCAUAGCCGACCAGAGCGGGUCGUCCGCCACACGGGAACUGAGACACGGUCCAGACGCCUCCGGGAGGCAGCCGAAGGGAAUCUUCCGCAAUGGGCGAAAGCCUGACGGAGCAACGCUGCGGGAGCGAUGAAGGUCUUCGGAUCGUAGACCUCUGGUAUUAGGGACGAACAUAUGUGUAAGUAACUGUGCACAUCUUGACGGUACUUAAACAGAAAGCCACGGCUAACUACGUG
Molecule: ribosomal RNA, 497 nt
Filed under: uncultured bacterium
Lineage: Bacteria
Description: partial 16S ribosomal RNA
Rfam family: Bacterial small subunit ribosomal RNA
Source: RNAcentral